Molecule: RNA transcript, 2780 nt
Organism: Lynx canadensis (Canada lynx)
Lineage: Eukaryota; Metazoa; Chordata; Mammalia; Carnivora; Felidae
Gene: SHC2
Gene name: SHC adaptor protein 2
Exons: 14
Source: RefSeq, a predicted model, not a curated record
AUGACGCAGGGUCCGGGCGGGCGCACGCCCCCCGCGCCCCCCGCGCCCCCGGAGCCCGAGGCGCCCACCACCUUCUGCGCGCUGCUGCCGCGCAUGCCGCAGUGGAAGUUCGCUGCCCCCGCGGGCUUCCUGGGCCGGGGCCCCGCGGCAGCUCGGGCGGCCGGGGGCGCGGGGGCCGCCGACUCCCAGCCCGAGGCGGCCGGCCCGGCCAGCGUCCCUGCGCUGGCGGCCGCGGUCCUGGGCGCCUGCGAGCCGCGCUGCGCCGCGCCCUGUCCGCUGCCGGCGCUCAGCCGCUGCCGGGCCGCCGGGGGCAGGGGCCCGCGGGGCGCGCGGGGGGCGGCCGGGCUCGCGGACGCCAGCGCCGACGAGUGGAUCCGCAAAGGGAGCUUCAUCCACAAGCCGGCGCACGGCUGGCUGCACCCAGACGCCAGGGUCCUGGGGCCCGGGGUCUCCUACAUCGUGCGGUACAUGGGCUGCAUCGAAGUCCUCCGCUCCAUGCGCUCUCUGGAUUUUAACACUCGCACCCAGGUGACCAGGGAAGCCAUCAACCGGCUCCAUGAGGCAGUGCCUGGCAUCCGGGGCUCCUGGAAGAAGAAGGCCCCGAACAAGGCGCUAGCCUCCAUCCUGGGCAAGACCAACCUGCGCUUCGCUGGCAUGAGCAUCGCUGUGAGCAUCUCCACCGACGGCCUCAACCUGUCCGUGCCUGCCACGCGCCAGGUCAUUGCCAACCACCACAUGCAGUCUAUCUCCUUUGCGUCGGGAGGUGACACGGACAUGACUGAUUAUGUGGCCUACGUAGCCAAGGAUCCCAUCAACCAGAGAGCCUGCCACAUCCUGGAGUGCUGUGAGGGCCUCGCCCAGAGCAUCAUCAGCACCGUGGGCCAAGCCUUCGAGCUGCGCUUCAAACAGUACCUGCACAGCCCCCCCAGGGUGGUCCUGCCCCCGGAAAGGCUGACCAGGCCCGAGGAGUCGGCCUGGGGGGACGAGGAGGAAACAGAACACAAUUACUACAACAGCAUCCCAGGGAAGGAGCCGCCCCUGGGUGGGCUGGUGGACUCCAGGCUCGCCCUAACUCAACCCUGUGCCGUCGGCGCCCUCGGCCAGGGCGUAUCGCCUGCUCGAAGGGACACCCGCAGUCUGCCGUGGGACCUGGGCCCCUCAGGCCCACCAGGGGAUGGCUACGUGCAGGCUGACGCACGGGGCCCCAGAGACUAUGAGGACCACCUGUACGUCAACACGCAGGGCCUGGAUGCCCCAGAGCCACUGCAGCCGGAGGACAGCCCCAAGAAGGACCUGUUCGACAUGCGACCCUUCGAGGACGCUCUGAAGCUGCACGAGUGCUCUGCGGGGGCGGGGGCGGCGGUAGCGCCCCUUCCCUUGGAGGACCAGUGGCCCAGCCCCCCCACCCGCCGGGCCCCCAUCGCCCCCACGGAGGAGCAGCUGCGGCAGGAGCCCUGGUACCAUGGCCAGAUGAGCCGAAGGGCCGCAGAGAAGCUGCUUCGAGCCGACGGGGACUUCCUGGUGCGCGACAGCGUCACCAAUCCCGGGCAGUACGUCCUCACAGGCAUGCACGCGGGGCAGCCCAAGCACCUGCUACUUGUGGACCCUGAGGGCGUGGUGCGGACGAAGGAUGUGCUCUUUGAGAGCAUCAGCCAUCUGAUCGACUACCACCUGCAGAAUGGGCAACCCAUCGUGGCGGCCGAAAGCGAGCUGCAUCUGCGCGGCGUGGUCAAACGCGAGCCCUGAGCCAGCAUGUUUAGAGAUGUGCAACCAUCCUCUACCUAAUUCCAGAACAUUCUACCACCCCAAAAGGUGAUGGUUCUCAGCUCCCAGCUCCUGUCCUGCUCCGCAGAUGCCCCUGUUGUGGCCUUACGGGCUCCUCAGCCUCUCCCUCCGGACCCUGGUCAGGCUGGAACCGCCACUGUCUCUCCUUCCCCCGCAUAGGCCUCUCUCCAGCCGUCCCUGGGCGGGGUCAACAAGGCCAAGAAAUGGGGGCCCACGACCCCUUUAUCCUGCUGACGCCCUGCCUGCCUCCACCCUCUGCCUGGAGUGAGGGUGUCCAUACCAAAGACAGAACCUUUUCUCACCUCUAAAGAAAACACAUUAAAGACAAGCAGUCCUCCAUCUCCAAGCCCUGGCCAGGGCCCCCGAUGGGUUAAGGAGGCCCACCUCUUUUCCCAGAUGGACUUCAGCUUCUCUCCCUGGAAAGAGGGAUUCCUGUCCUUGACUGGUUCAGUUUUUCCACCUGAAAAAUCAGUGCACAGUUGUCUUUUAUGGGGAAGAAUUGAGAUGCUUUGGGUCCUCAGGCCGGGGCACCUGCUGAUGUUGAAGGGGCGGGUAGCCUUGGGGCCCAGCUGGGAUGGGGGGCAUCCAGGCAAGGCCAGCACAACCGGCUCGGGGGUGGGGGGCGGUGGGUGGUUGUGGGACUCUGCCCUCCCGGCUGCCAACCUGCAUGGACAUUUGGGAUCUGCUGGUAACACGACCCUGAGGAAAUGAACCCACCUGCACAUUGAGAGGCCCUCUGGCUGGAAGGCUGAGGCCAGUGUCCCAGGGGCAGAGCCAAGGCCCACGGUGUGGCCUUUCGGGGCUGGAGGAUGUGGGGACUGGAGGGGGGGAUGGGGAAGAGGGCGCUGGGCCUGUGGGGCAGUGGUCUGCUGUCCGAGAACCCCUGGCAUCUCCCUCACACCUGUUUUUACCCCGAGAUAAAGCUUCCCCAACACCCCCGUCUUCCCCUUGGAAACAUCUGUAUUUCCUGAAUGCUGCAAACCUCUUUCAAGAUG